UGAACGCUGGCGGCAGGCUUACCACAUGCAAGUCGAGCGGUAACAGAGAGAAGCUUGCUUCUCUGCUGACGAGCGGCGGACGGGUGAGUAAUGCCUAGGAAUCUGCCUAGUAGUGGGGGAUAACUUGCCGAAAGGUAAGCUAAUACCGCAUACGUCCUACGGGAGAAAGGAGGGGACCUUCGGGCCUUUCGCUAUUAGAUGAGCCUAGGUCGGAUUAGUUAGUUGGUGAGGUAAUGGCUCACCAAGACCGCGAUCCGUAACUGGUCUGAGAGGAUGAUCAGUCACACUGGAACUGAGACACGGUCCAGACUCCUACGGGAGGCAGCAGUGGGGAAUAUUGGACAAUGGGGGGGAACCCUGAUCCAGCCAUGCCGCGUGUGUGAAGAAGGUCUUAGGAUUGUAAAGCACUUUAAGUUGGGAGGAAGAGCAGUUAACUAAUAUUUGACUGUUUUGACGUUACCGACAGAAUAAGCACCGGCUAACUUCGUG
Molecule: ribosomal RNA, 489 nt
Filed under: uncultured bacterium
Lineage: Bacteria
Description: partial 16S ribosomal RNA
Rfam family: Bacterial small subunit ribosomal RNA
Source: RNAcentral